RNAcentral lists this transfer RNA (77 nucleotides) under Victivallaceae bacterium. RNAcentral describes it as "tRNA-Val". It matches the Rfam family "tRNA". From Rfam's summary of the family: Transfer RNA (tRNA) molecules are approximately 80 nucleotides in length. Their secondary structure includes four short double-helical elements and three loops (D, anti-codon, and T loops). Further hydrogen bonds mediate the characteristic L-shaped molecular structure. tRNAs have two regions of fundamental functional importance: the anti-codon, which is responsible for specific mRNA codon recognition, and the 3' end, to which the tRNAs corresponding amino acid is attached (by aminoacyl-tRNA synthetases). tRNAs cope with the degeneracy of the genetic code in two manners: having more than one tRNA (with a specific anti-codon) for a particular amino acid; and 'wobble' base-pairing, i.e. permitting non-standard base-pairing at the 3rd anti-codon position. The record is from RNAcentral. Lineage: Bacteria; Pseudomonadati; Lentisphaerota; Lentisphaeria; Victivallales; Victivallaceae. RNAcentral also lists the same sequence under 1 other name.
GGGCGUGUAGCUCAGCUGGUUAGAGCGCAACGUUCACAUCGUUGAAGUCGUAGGUUCGAGUCCUAUCACGCCCACCA